RNAcentral lists this ribosomal RNA (453 nucleotides) under uncultured bacterium. RNAcentral describes it as "bacterial SSU rRNA". It matches the Rfam family "Bacterial small subunit ribosomal RNA", at positions 28 to 505 of the family's 1533-position model. The record is from RNAcentral.
GAUGAACGCUGGCGGCGUGGCUAAGGCAUGCAAGUUGAAUGCUUAUCUUCGGAUAAGCAUGGCAAACGGGAGAGUAACACAUUGGUAAUCUGCCCUGAGGACGAGAAUAACCCGAAGAAAUUCGGAAUAAUACUCGAUAAUAGUGGGGGGUCAAAAGACAUUCCCACUUAAAGCUCCGACGCCUCGGGAGGAGCCUAUGUCCUAUCAGUUUGUUGGUGAGGUAAAAGCUCACCAAGACUACGACGGGUACCGGGUGUGAGAGCAUUACCCGGCUCACUGGGACUGAGACACUGCCCAGACUCCUACGGGAGGCUGCAGUCACGAAUCUUCCUCAAUGGCCGAAAGGCUGAAGGAGCGACGCCGCGUGCAUGAAGACGCCCCUCGGGGUGUAAAGUGCUUUUAUUAGGGAUGAACUAAUGACAGUACCUAAUGAAUAAGGGGCUGCUAAACUCG